UGGGGAAUAUUGGACAAUGGGCGCAAGCCUGAUCCAGCCAUGCCGCGUGUGUGAAGAAGGCCUUCGGGUUGUAAAGCACUUUUGUCCGGAAAGAAAGCGAAUAGGCGAAUACCCGGUUUGGCUGACGGUACCGGAAGAAUAAGCACCGGCUGACUUCGUGCCAGCAGCCGCGGUAAUGCGAAGGGUGCAAGCGUUACUCGGAAUUACUGGGAGUAAAGCGUGCGUAGGCGGUCUGUUAAGUCUGCUGUGAAAUCCCCGGGUUCAACCUGGGAAUGGCAGUUGAAACUGGCGGGCUAGAGUACGGUAGAGGAUGGUGGAAUUCCCGGUGUAGCGGUGAAAUGCGUAGAGAUCGGGAGGAACAACUGUGGCGAAGGCGGCCAUCUG
Molecule: ribosomal RNA, 384 nt
Filed under: uncultured bacterium
Lineage: Bacteria
Description: bacterial SSU rRNA
Rfam family: Bacterial small subunit ribosomal RNA
Source: RNAcentral